Triticum aestivum (bread wheat) is the source of this 472-nucleotide long non-coding RNA. RefSeq lists it as uncharacterized. The transcript is spliced from 2 exons. The record is from RefSeq and is a predicted model, not a curated record. Lineage: Eukaryota; Viridiplantae; Streptophyta; Magnoliopsida; Poales; Poaceae.
GAUCAACCCAGUCUGUUGGCCGGUCGCUCGCCGUCAUUUCGCCUUCCGGUCGCCCCGCCGCCCCCUCCGGCCGUCCAGCGUCCGCGCUCGCUUCCUUCGCCUCUCGUCUCACCGCCGCUCCUGCGAUGUGGCUAAACAUUGUACAACAUGCGGGUGCUACUUUAUCCCCGAAGCCGACCAACAUUGCGAAGAGUGUAUGUGGCAUCUGUAUUGGCUGUCGGUGGAUCCUCAUUCAGAGUACCACAAAUCACGAAUGCCACUAAGCUUGAGUGUUGAGUAGGCCGCUCUUUCCCAUCAAAUAUAAGUAGUUCUCAAUUUCAGACUAUUUCAGCCACAGGGGGGUUUGGUGUCCACUUUUUAGAGGUCAUGUAUGGUUUGAGAUGUAUUCGGUGUACACUGGGCGUGGCAAUGCCUUGGUUUGUACUGUAAGCAAAAUGCAUGUUGCCAGACUAAAUAUUUCGUGCUUCGGUAU